GACGAACGCUGGCGGCGUGCUUAACACAUGCAAGUCGAACGGAAAGGCCCUGCUUUUGUGGGGUGCUCGAGUGGCGAACGGGUGAGUAACACGUGAGUAACCUGCCCUUGACUUUGGGAUAACUUCAGGAAACUGGGGCUAAUACCGGAUAGGAGCUCCCGCUGCAUGGUGGGGGUUGGAAAGUUUCGGCGGUUGGGGAUGGACUCGCGGCUUAUCAGCUUGUUGGUGGGGUAGUGGCUUACCAAGGCUUUGACGGGUAGCCGGCCUGAGAGGGUGACCGGCCACAUUGGGACUGAGAUACGGCCCAGACUCCUACGGGAGGCAGCAGUGGGGAAUAUUGCACAAUGGGCGGAAGCCUGAUGCAGCAACGCCGCGUGCGGGAUGACGGCCUUCGGGUUGUAAACCGCUUUCACCUGUGACGAAGCGUGAGUGACGGUAAUGGGUAAAGAAGCACCGGCUAACUACGUG
This 468-nucleotide ribosomal RNA is filed under the name uncultured bacterium. RNAcentral's name for it is "partial 16S ribosomal RNA". It matches the Rfam family "Bacterial small subunit ribosomal RNA", at positions 28 to 507 of the family's 1533-position model. The record is from RNAcentral.